UAGGGAAUCUUCGGCAAUGGACGAAAGUCUGACCGAGCAACGCCGCGUGAGUGAAGAAGGUUUUCGGAUCGUAAAGCUCUGUUGUAAGUCAAGAACGUGUGUGAGAGUGGAAAGUUCACACAGUGACGGUAGCUUACCAGAAAGGGACGGCUAACUACGUGCCAGCAGCCGCGGUAAUACGUAGGUCCCGAGCGUUGUCCGGAUUUAUUGGGCGUAAAGGGAGCGCAGGCGGUCAGGAAAGUCUGGAGUAAAAGGCUAUGGCUCAACCAUAGUGUGCUCUGGAAACUGUCUGACUUGAGUGCAGAAGGGGAGAGUGGAAUUCCAUGUGUAGCGGUGAAAUGCGUAGAUAUAUGGAGGAACACCAGUGGCGAAAGCGGCUCUCUGGUCUGUCACUGACGCUGAGGCUCGAAAGCGUGGGUAGCGAACA
This 427-nucleotide ribosomal RNA is filed under the name uncultured bacterium. RNAcentral's name for it is "bacterial SSU rRNA". It matches the Rfam family "Bacterial small subunit ribosomal RNA", at positions 355 to 774 of the family's 1533-position model. The record is from RNAcentral. RNAcentral also lists the same sequence under 1 other name.